This 538-nucleotide ribosomal RNA is filed under the name uncultured bacterium. RNAcentral describes it as "bacterial SSU rRNA". It matches the Rfam family "Bacterial small subunit ribosomal RNA", at positions 975 to 1509 of the family's 1533-position model. The record is from RNAcentral.
UUGGCCUUGACAUACUAAGAACUUUCCAGAGAUGGGAUUUGGGUGCCUUCGGGAACUUAGAUACAGGUGCUGCAUGGCUGUCGUCAGCUCGUGUCGUGAGAUGUUGGGUUAACGUCCGCAACGAGCGCAACCCUUUUCCUUAUUUGCCAGCGGGUAAUGCCGGGAACUUUAAGGAUACUGCCAGUGACAAACUGGAGGAAGGCGGGGACGACGUCAAGUCAUCAUGGCCCUUACGGCCAGGGCUACACACGUGCUACAAUGGUCGGUACAAAGGGUUGCUACCUCGCGAGAGGAUGCUAAUCUCAAAAAGCCGAUCGUAGUCCGGAUCGCAGUCUGCAACUCGACUGCGUGAAGUCGGAAUCGCUAGUAAUCGCGGAUCAGAAUGCCGCGGUGAAUACGUUCCCGGGCCUUGUACACACCGCCCGUCACACCAUGGGAGUUUGUUGCACCAGAAGUAGGUAGUCUAACCGCAAGGAGGACGCUUACCACGGUGUGGCCGAUGACUGGGGUGAAGUCGUAACAAGGUAAGCGUAGAUGA